This 395-nucleotide unclassified non-coding RNA is filed under the name soil metagenome. RNAcentral's name for it is "partial contains 5.8S ribosomal RNA, internal transcribed spacer 2, and large subunit ribosomal RNA". The stretch from base 1 to 122 matches the Rfam family "5.8S ribosomal RNA", at positions 35 to 154 of the family's 154-position model. The record is from RNAcentral.
GAUGAAGAACGUAGCAAAAUGCGAUACUUGGUGUGAAUUGCAGAAUCCCGUGAACCAUCGAGUCUUUGAACGCAAGUUGCGCCCGAAGCCAUCAGGUUGAGGGCACGUCUGCCUGGGCGUCACAUAUCGUUGCCCAAUGCCUAUUGCAGUGCAAUAGGAAUUUCUAGGGCGAAUGAUGGCUUCCCGUGAGCGUUGUUGCCUCGCGGUUGGUUGAAAAUCGAGUCCUUGGUAGGGUGUGCCAUGGUAGAUGGUGGUCGAGUUAGAACGAUACCGAUCAUGUGCAUGCUCCCCAAAAUAUGGCCUCUAUGACCCACACGCGUCUUUUGACGCUCAUGACGAGACCUCAGGUCAGGCGGGGCUACCCGCUGAAUUUAAGCAUAUCAAUAAGCGGAGGA